This 1099-nucleotide long non-coding RNA is filed under the name Homo sapiens (human). RNAcentral's name for it is "long non-coding RNA NONHSAT178453.1". Lineage: Eukaryota; Metazoa; Chordata; Mammalia; Primates; Hominidae. The record is from RNAcentral.
GCAGAGACAAGUUGCCCUCAAGAAGAUAACUAUCCAAAUAGUCUAUGUAUAAAAGUAAAUGGGAAGCUAUUUCCUUUGCCUGGCUAUGCACCACCGCCUAAAAAUGGGAUUGAACAGAAGCGCCCUGGACGCCCCUUGAAUAUUACAUCUUUAGUUAGGUUAUCUUCAGCUGUGCCAAACCAAAUUUCCAUUUCUUGGGCAUCAGAAAUUGGGAAGAAUUACUCUAUGUCUGUAUAUCUUGUACGGCAGCUUACAUCAGCCAUGUUAUUACAGAGAUUAAAAAUGAAAGGUAUUAGAAACCCUGAUCAUUCCAGAGCACUAAUUAAAGAAAAACUUACUGCAGAUCCUGAUAGUGAAAUUGCUACAACUAGCCUUCGGGUAUCCUUGAUGUGCCCUUUAGGAAAAAUGAGGCUGACAAUCCCAUGCCGUGCAGUGACUUGUACACAUCUGCAGUGUUUUGAUGCUGCCCUCUAUCUACAAAUGAAUGAGAAAAAGCCCACCUGGAUUUGUCCUGUGUGUGACAAAAAAGCUGCCUAUGAAAGUCUAAUAUUAGAUGGGCUUUUUAUGGAAAUUCUCAAUGACUGUUCUGAUGUAGAUGAGAUCAAAUUCCAAGAAGAUGGUUCUUGGUGUCCAAUGAGACCGAAGAAAGAAGCUAUGAAAGUAUCCAGCCAACCGUGUACAAAAAUAGAAAGUUCAAGCGUCCUCAGUAAGCCUUGUUCAGUGACUGUAGCCAGUGAGGCAAGCAAGAAGAAAGUAGAUGUUAUUGAUCUUACAAUAGAAAGCUCUUCUGACGAAGAGGAAGACCCUCCUGCCAAAAGGAAAUGCAUCUUUAUGUCAGAAACACAAAGCAGCCCAACCAAAGGGGUUCUCAUGUAUCAGCCAUCUUCUGUAAGGGUGCCCAGUGUGACUUCGGUUGAUCCUGCUGCUAUUCCGCCUUCAUUAACAGACUACUCAGUACCAUUCCACCAUACGCCAAUAUCAAGCAUGUCAUCAGAUUUGCCAGGAGAACAAAGAAGAAAUGAUAUUAAUAAUGAACUGAAGCUUGGAACAUCUUCUGAUACUGUGCAACAGUGAAUACAAAAUAAAACAAAUAAUUUGU